UGAGGAACAUGACCUUCGGCGGGGGAUAGCCGGCCCAACGGCCGGGUAAUACCGCGUACGACCACAUGGGGACAUCCCUGAGUGGUGAAAGCAGCAAUGCGCCGAUGGAGUGCCUCGCGGCCUAUCAGCUAGUUGGUGAGGUAACGGCUCACCAAGGCGACGACGGGUAGCCGGCCUGAGGAGGGUGACCGGCCACACGUGGGACUGAGACACGGCCCAGACCUCCCGUACGGGGAGGNAGCG
Molecule: ribosomal RNA, 243 nt
Filed under: uncultured bacterium
Lineage: Bacteria
Description: partial 16S ribosomal RNA
Rfam family: Bacterial small subunit ribosomal RNA
Source: RNAcentral